Nyctereutes procyonoides (raccoon dog) is the source of this 715-nucleotide long non-coding RNA. RefSeq lists it as uncharacterized. The record is from RefSeq and is a predicted model, not a curated record. NCBI's taxonomy places the organism in Eukaryota, Metazoa, Chordata, Mammalia, Carnivora, Canidae. The transcript is spliced from 5 exons.
CGGGGCCCCGGCGGCUCGGCCCGGCGCGGGCGGGAGGCUCGGGCGGGCGGCCCCGCGCGGGACGCGGGUGCGGGCGCCCGGGAGGUGCCGACAGCCGCCUCGGACCCGGUAACUUAACAAGAUUAAAAUUAAAUUGGUUGAUGAUGGUUCUGAACAAAUACAGCCCUUUUAUUUGAGGUAUGCCAUUUUGAAGACUGAGAUCCAUGGAGUUUUAUCCUUGAGUAUAAAAGGAAAUAUUUGCUAAAAUCUUUAUUUUAUAUAGCAAAAAUGUGAAUCCAGAGACUGAAUUCUCUAAAGGGCCUGUACAACGUAAUAGAUGUUGGUGGAAGAAUUUACACCCAGUCAGCUUGAAGAGUCUCAAAUGGAUCCCUACCACUGAGAAAACAAGAUGGCAGUCCACUAUGGGGAAUUGAGGAAAAUGGAUUAAUACCAGAGUGCUGUGAUAAUAUACAACCAAGACAGGGUUCUUUUAACAUGGAUUUCAUGAAAUGAAUGAAGACAUAGGUUUCUUACCCAGCACAAAUGGACAGUGGAUUUGACUUUCCAAAGACUUUUUGUAUCAUUAAAACAAGUAUAUUUUUGACAUUUGGAGAAGAAAGAUGGCACAUUAACACAGAUGUUAGUUUGUAUGCCUGGAAGUUUUUGCAGUUUGAUUUGUAUGAGUAUGACUUUGUGGAAUGUUAACUUUAAUAAAAUUUCUAACACUUUAAAAUUU